AGUGAACGCUGGCGGCGUGCCUAAUACAUGCAAGUCGAACGCGAAAGUCCUUCGGGAUGAGUAAAGUGGCGCACGGGUGAGUAAUACAUGGGAACAUGCCCUUGGAUGGGGAAUAACGUUUGGAAACGAACGCUAAUACCGCAUAAUCUCGCGAGAGUAAAGGUGGCGCCGCAAGGGCUACCGUCCAAGGAUUGGCCCAUGUCCCAUUAGCUAGUUGGCGGGGUAAUGGCCCACCAAGGCAACGAUGGGUAACUGGUCUGAGAGGAUGAUCAGUCACACUGGAACUGAGACACGGUCCAGACUCCUACGGGAGGCAGCAGUAGGGAAUAUUGCACAAUGGGGGAAACCCUGAUGCAGCAACGCCGCGUGAGUGAAGAAGGCCCUUGGGUUGUAAAGCUCUUUAGCGUGGGAAGAAGGUGGAUAUGGUGAAUAAUCAUGUUUGCUGACGGUACCACGAGAAUAAGCACCGGCUAAUUUCGUGCCAGCCGCCGCGGUAA
Molecule: ribosomal RNA, 497 nt
Filed under: uncultured bacterium
Lineage: Bacteria
Description: partial 16S ribosomal RNA
Rfam family: Bacterial small subunit ribosomal RNA
Source: RNAcentral